Long non-coding RNA from Silurus meridionalis, 645 nucleotides. RefSeq lists it as uncharacterized. Lineage: Eukaryota; Metazoa; Chordata; Actinopteri; Siluriformes; Siluridae. The record is from RefSeq and is a predicted model, not a curated record. The transcript is spliced from 4 exons.
UUCAAUGUUUUUGUGGCAAGUGUUUGUUUCAAUUUAACAUUGUAAACCCCAUCAAUUGUUUUCCAGUUAUUCAUCUUAAAGUAUAGUAUUUAGUAACCAUUUAGAAAUGCUCAGUAACUACAAUGAAAAUAACAGAAGAUGUAAAUAUACAAUAGCUGUGGAAUUUUAAGACAUUAAUUAUAAUUGGUGUGUUAUAUCCUAGUAAAUGCUAAAACACUAGAAAAGAGCACUGCGGAAGCCGACACUCUGUACUCAGAACUAAAGCAGAAAACAGAUGAAGGCAAUUGCCCUAAACCUGCUGAUGUGACUUAUGCCCAGGUUAUGGUAAAGGGCAAAAAGAAUAAUGCAGAGGAUGUCCCUGAACCUGCUGAUGCAAUUUAUGCCCAGGUUAAGGUUAAGAGCAAAAGGAAUAAUGCAGGGGGCGCUACAAAGCCCUAUUGCCACGCCUAUGUUCCAGCCUUUGACCGUUCCUAAGGGCAGACGACUUCGACGUCUGUGGCAAAUUUCCGGUGUUUUCGAACAUGUUAAGGCACCCAAAGUGCAUGUCAAGUGCUUAAAUAUGCCUGAAAUAAAAGUAAAGUUUGACGCGUUGCCAUAGGAACAGCGAUUAAGAUAUCAAAAAUCCCUUCGCAAUUUAUCAUCUAC